UACGUAGGGGGCAAGCGUUGUCCGGAAUCAUUGGGCGUAAAGCGCGUGUAGGCGGCCUUGUAAGUCCGUUCUGAAAGUCCGGGGGCUCAACCCCGGGAGGCGGAUGGAUACUGCAAGGCUCGAGUCCGGAAGAGGCAAGUGGAAUCCCGGUGUAGCGGUGAAAUGCGCAGAUAUCGGGAGGAACACCAAUGGCGAAGGCAGCUGCUGGGACGGUCUGACGCUGAGAGCGAAAGCGUGGGAGCAACAGGGAUAAGAUACCCCGAUGA
This 266-nucleotide ribosomal RNA is filed under the name uncultured bacterium. RNAcentral describes it as "partial 16S ribosomal RNA". It matches the Rfam family "Bacterial small subunit ribosomal RNA", at positions 524 to 793 of the family's 1533-position model. The record is from RNAcentral.